Molecule: small RNA, 97 nt
Filed under: Martinezella leucaenae
Lineage: Bacteria; Pseudomonadati; Pseudomonadota; Alphaproteobacteria; Hyphomicrobiales; Rhizobiaceae
Description: Rhizobium leucaenae sRNA ar35
Rfam family: Alphaproteobacterial sRNA ar35
Source: RNAcentral
AUCUGGCUGCAGUUCCACCUUCCCUUUGACCACGGAUGUACUGGCAUUGAUGUGAGGGUGGAUGACGAAAGGCCGGCUUGCUCCGGCCUUUUUGUUU